AGCGAACGCUGGCGGCAGGCUUAACACAUGCAAGUCGAGCGGGCACUUCGGUGUCAGCGGCAGACGGGUGAGUAACACGUGGGAACGUACCCUUCGGUUCGGAAUAACGCGGGGAAACUAGCGCUAAUACCGGAUACGCCCUGGUGGGGAAAGGUUUACUGCCGAAGGAUCGGCCCGCGUCUGAUUAGCUAGUUGGUGGGGUAAUGGCCUACCAAGGCGACGAUCAGUAGCUGGUCUGAGAGGAUGAUCAGCCACACUGGGACUGAGACACGGCCCAGACUCCUACGGGAGGCAGCAGUGGGGAAUAUUGGACACUGGGCGCAAGCCUGAUCCAGCCAUGCCGCGUGAGUGAUGAAGGCCUUAGGGUUGUAAAGCUCUUUUGUCCGGGACGAUAAUGACGGUACCGGAAGAAUAAGCCCCGGCUAACUUCGUG
RNAcentral lists this ribosomal RNA (433 nucleotides) under uncultured bacterium. RNAcentral describes it as "partial 16S ribosomal RNA". It matches the Rfam family "Bacterial small subunit ribosomal RNA", at positions 29 to 507 of the family's 1533-position model. The record is from RNAcentral.